UGAGACAAGGUUCUCUCUGAGAUCUGGAUAGACCUCCACUCUGCUGCUGUUGUUUAGAAGAACUUCAACAUCUGGCUUUUUACCCAGGCCUAUGGCAAGAAAGAACGGAAUUGCAAAAAAUGAAAGCUCUAAAUUCUCAGCCCUGGUAUUCAGUGAAUAUCCGCCCAUCUCAACAUGUGACUCUGGUUAGCUUUAUCAUUCAUAAAAUCACAGAACUGUGGAGUUGGAAGAGACCACAAG
This is a long non-coding RNA of Thamnophis elegans (Western terrestrial garter snake), 240 nucleotides long. RefSeq lists it as uncharacterized. NCBI's taxonomy places the organism in Eukaryota, Metazoa, Chordata, Lepidosauria, Squamata, Natricidae. The record is from RefSeq and is a predicted model, not a curated record. The transcript is spliced from 3 exons.